UAGGGAAUCUUCGGCAAUGGACGAAAGUCUGACCGAGCAACGCCGCGUGAGUGAAGAAGGUUUUCGGAUCGUAAAACUCUGUUGUUAGAGAAGUACAAGGGUGAGAGUAACUGUUCACCCCUUGACGGUAUCUAACCAGAAAGCCACGGCUAACUACGUGCUAG
RNAcentral lists this ribosomal RNA (164 nucleotides) under uncultured bacterium. RNAcentral describes it as "partial 16S rRNA". It matches the Rfam family "Bacterial small subunit ribosomal RNA", at positions 355 to 511 of the family's 1533-position model. The record is from RNAcentral.